UUAUGAAAGAAUUAUUGGGAAAUUUUUAGUAAAAGUAGUUAUAUGUUUUAGUAUAGUUUAGAAAAAAUGGAGUUAAUUAUAGUUUAUUAGUACAGUGAAGGAGUUUAAAAAUGAGUGGGAAGAAUUUUUUGUUUAGGGUACCUUUUGUAUCAGGGUUUAUUAAAAGAGGUUUUUAAAUAAAAAUAUCUCGAAUUUUGGAGGGCUAAGAAAGUGAAAAUUUUAUUGUGGAAUAACUAUUUACAACACUUUUUUUGUAACCAUAUAUUAGUCGUUCUGUAAUAUAUCUAGUUUUCUAAGAAAUUAAUUUAAUUAAGCUUGCUAGGAACAGAAUUUUUAUAGGAAAUUAAUUUUGUAGUUAAGUUAUAUCCGGGGGGAUAAGCUUUUGGAUAAAUUUUUAAAAUGUUUUUUUCAUUAAAGGUGAAAUAGGAAUAGAAGUUUUUAUUUUUUGAAGUGAGUUGUAUCAUGACUUUAUUUUAGUUGAUUUUUUGUUAUUUAAGUAUUUUAUUAGAAUAGGAAUUUUAAUUUUGAAUUUUUCGUAAUAAUGAUAAAAUUAGUAUUUAUUAGGGUUUAUAAAAGUUAGUUUUGUAAAGUUGGGUUAAGGAAUUCGGCAAAUCUAUUCUUUGCCUGUUUAUUAAAAACAUGGCCUUUUGAGAAUAAUUUUAGGUCUGGCCUGCCCAAUGAUUUAUUUAAUGGCCGCGGUACUCUGACCGUGCAAAGGUAGCAUAAUCAUUAGUUUUUUAAUUGAAAGCUGGAAUGAACGGUCGGACAAGGGAAUAGCUGUCUCAACCUAAAUUGAAAGAAUUUUAUAUUUUAGUGAGAAAGCUUAAAUAAGUUUGAGGGACGAGAAGACCCUAUAGAAUUUUAUAAUUUUUUUUUGGUUUAAUUUUUGGGUUUAUUGAGUUAAUUUAAGGAAAAAUUGUUUUGUUGGGGUGACAGAAAAAUUUGAUAAACUUUUUUUUAUGUAUUUCAUUAAUUUAUGAAUAAUUGAUCCAUGUAUAGUGAUUAUAAGAUUAAAUUACCUUAGGGAUAACAGCGUAAUUGGUUUGGAGAGUUCUUAUCGAUAAACUAGUUUGCGACCUCGAUGUUGGAUUAAAAUUAACUUGUGGUGUAGGGGCUACAAAGUUGAGUCUGUUCGACUUUUAAAAUUUUACAUGAUCUGAGUUUAAACCGGCGUGAGCCAGGUUGGUUUCUAUCUUCAAAAAUUUAAAAUAUUUUAGUACGAAAGGACCAAGUAUUUAUUUUAAAAAUUUAAUUUUGAAUAUUAUU
Molecule: ribosomal RNA, 1266 nt
Filed under: Prosopocoilus laterotarsus
Lineage: Eukaryota; Metazoa; Arthropoda; Insecta; Coleoptera; Lucanidae
Description: 16S ribosomal RNA
Rfam family: Archaeal large subunit ribosomal RNA (bases 568-1266)
Source: RNAcentral